GUCCCCCUGUGGCCUUUGUUAAUACUAACGCCGCCAUUCACUAGGCAUCUACUGUGAACCGGACACUGCGUGAGAGGCUCCACGCACUGUCUCCCUUAAUCCUCACCACCACCCCAGGAGGUCAGCAUGCUGAACCAGGGCCACACAGAGGAAGCGGGGUGCUGAAUCUUGACUUUCUAACCCCAAGGCCCACCCCCGUUUCUCCCCACUGUGGGCAGCCUCCUAGUUUCUCAAUUCGCAGGGAACCCGAUUAGAGGCUUUUGGCAGUGACUCCACAACUCAUGGCUCACAGGAAGGGACAGCAGAGACACGGUGCUCUAGUGGACAGUAUAUACCUCCUGCCUGGCAGCUUCAUGAGGGGACCCUAAAACUGGGGAAUUUACAAGCCCUGCUAGACCACCAAGGCCCUCGCAUGCUUGGAAUGCAGGACUCCGACUGGCCAAAGACUCCGAGGACCCGGCUCCAGUGAGUCAGCUGGCGCUAAAGAUCUACGCCUUUGGGUUUGUCAUUUAUUCAAUGAAAAAUUGAUGUUUCUGGGUGCUUUAAGAGAGCCAAGUUUCCCACAGCUUCCAGUCACACAGUGAGACCCAAGAGGAAGGAGCCAAUAAAAUCUUAAAGACACCCAAGGACCAGGCCCACACAUUCCAAAUACUUCUUAGGAUCCUUCAGAAGCCAAUGGCUCUGUCUUAGAGAGCAGUUUUGAGUAUUAAAGGAAGACAGAAGAGUCCAGAAUAUAGAGUCCAGGGUUGCUGACCAAAGAGGGCAGACUUGGCUCUCAUUGGAGGGCAUCUGAGUCCAGGAUACCCCUCCUUCUUACCCCAUCCAGAAGGCAGCUACUCUUAUUAGCUCCAUUUUACAGGUGGGGAAAUGGAGGCACAAUG
Long non-coding RNA from Manis pentadactyla (Chinese pangolin), 881 nucleotides. RefSeq lists it as uncharacterized. The transcript has 6 exons. Lineage: Eukaryota; Metazoa; Chordata; Mammalia; Pholidota; Manidae. The record is from RefSeq and is a predicted model, not a curated record.